RNAcentral lists this ribosomal RNA (467 nucleotides) under uncultured bacterium. Its description in RNAcentral is "partial 16S ribosomal RNA". It matches the Rfam family "Bacterial small subunit ribosomal RNA", at positions 28 to 507 of the family's 1533-position model. The record is from RNAcentral.
GACGAACGCUGGCGGCGUGCUUAACACAUGCAAGUCGAACGGAAAGGCUCCAGCUUGCUGGAGUACUCGAGUGGCGAACGGGUGAGUAACACGUGGGUAAUCUGCCCUGCACUCUGGGAUAAGCCUGGGAAACUGGGUCUAAUACUGGAUAUGACCUUUCUCCUUAUGGGGUUUGGUGGAAAGUUUUUCGGUGUAGGAUGGGCCCGCGGCCUAUCAGCUUGUUGGUGGGGUGAUGGCCUACCAAGGCGACGACGGGUAGCCGGCCUGAGAGGGUGAUCGGCCACAUUGGGACUGAGAUACGGCCCAGACUCCUACGGGAGGCAGCAGUGGGGAAUAUUGCACAAUGGGCGGAAGCCUGAUGCAGCGACGCCGCGUGAGGGAUGACGGCCUUCGGGUUGUAAACCUCUUUCGGCAGGGACGAAGCGUAAGUGACGGUACCUGCAGAAGAAGCACCGGCUAACUAUGUG